CCCUAGGGAGCUGUAUCUCGCUGGGGCCUCCAAAUGUUGUAAUGUACCCCGCGAAUCACAGAAGGACGCCUCAAGAAGUCGAAUUAAAGAGUCACAUUUAUU
Molecule: microRNA precursor, 102 nt
Organism: Myotis lucifugus (little brown bat)
Lineage: Eukaryota; Metazoa; Chordata; Mammalia; Chiroptera; Vespertilionidae
Source: Ensembl